GCUGGGCAUGGUGGUGCAUGCCUGUAAUCCUAGCUACUUGGGAGGCUGAGGCAGGAGAAUCACUUGAAUCCGGGAGACAGAGGUUGCAGUGAGCAGAGAUUAUGCCUCUACACUCUAGCCUGGGUGACAGAGUGAGACUCCGUCUCAA
This 148-nucleotide non-coding RNA is filed under the name Pan troglodytes (chimpanzee). Lineage: Eukaryota; Metazoa; Chordata; Mammalia; Primates; Hominidae. The record is from Rfam by way of RNAcentral.